This 126-nucleotide microRNA precursor is filed under the name Dichanthelium oligosanthes. The record is from RNAcentral. Lineage: Eukaryota; Viridiplantae; Streptophyta; Magnoliopsida; Poales; Poaceae.
CAGAAAGGAGCCGUCCGGACUAGCCAAGGAGACUGCCUGCGAGACCACACGAAGAGCAAGCAGCCCGAGCUCACUUCAAGAGGCCACAGGCAAGUCAUCAUUGGCUAUCUAGACAGACUCUUAUCA